RNAcentral lists this ribosomal RNA (344 nucleotides) under uncultured Verrucomicrobiota bacterium. RNAcentral's name for it is "bacterial SSU rRNA". It matches the Rfam family "Bacterial small subunit ribosomal RNA", at positions 29 to 351 of the family's 1533-position model. Lineage: Bacteria; Pseudomonadati; Verrucomicrobiota. The record is from RNAcentral.
AACGAACGCUGGCGGCGUGGAUAAGACAUGCAAGUCGAACGAUCAUUAGCGGGUAGCAAUAUCUGCUAGUGGGAGUGGCGCAAGGGUGCGUAACACGUGGGCAAUCUGCCGUGAAGUUUGGGAUAACUUGCUGAAAGGCGAGCUAAUACCGGAUGUGACAACCUGGGGGCAUCUCUGGGUUGUUAAAGUUGGGGACCGCAAGGCCUGACGCUUCAUGAUGAACCCGCGGCCUAUCAGCUAGUUGGUGAGGUAACGGCUCACCAAGGCUAAGACGGGUAGCUGGUCUGAGAGGACGACCAGCCACACUGGAACUGAGACACGGUCCAGACACCUACGGGUGGCAG